AAACUCUAUUAAAUUAGGUGUCAAUACUUCUUCUUCUACUACCUAUUUAACAGUGUCUCGACACCCGCGCAACCCGAUAUCUCACUCAUUUCCACUUCUGCUCCGAGGCAUAGCAGCCGGGAGCGUAUUUAAGGAGACUAUCGACCAAGAAUAAUCAGUCUUGAGGCGAUCAGCUCUAGACUCCCUGGCCAGCCAGUGUAGUGUACAGGCAGGCCAACCUGGGUGGUGGAACUCCGUAUUGAAGAGAUCCGCCGAUCGUAAUUGAACGGGAUCCGUGUAGCUGUGGAGUGAACAGUAGGGUGGUGCGAAAAAAGUCAAGUUGAUAAUCCAGUAUCGCUAUAGUGCGGAAAAGUUGCGAUUGGUAAUUACAAGAAAAACAAAACCAAUAUUAUUCAAAUCGGACUUUAUCUUCCGAUCCCGCAAGGUCAAUCAAAAUCUAUAAAAAUUUGAAAUUGUUGAUGAUUUUGAUAAAAUAAAAAACAUUUAGUUAUCUCAUUUUUCUGUUGCAUUGUGAAGCUCUUCGCUUGUUUAGAUAUUGUAUAAUAAUAUUUAAACGACCUAGAACUCACAACGAGAAAGUGGUUGCACUUUCUACUCCACCCACACCCUUCUCUCCAUACAACCAAUGAGUGUGUGUUUUUUACAUUAUUUACAUAGUACAUUUCUUUUUCAUUUGUUUGUGUCCCGCUUUUAAACGUCAACUUUGAAUUUUGAUUUGGUGGUAAAAUCUGGCAGCAUGGACCUUGAUUUAAGGGUUGCCUUGAUGAAUCCAUCUCUUGAUUGGGUCCCACAUACAUUAGACGAUACUUCCGUGACCAACUCUACUUACCGCUAGACAGCUUGUGUAUGGCAGGGAUGGUUUUGUACAUUACAGUCUGGUGUGUUGCCUGAUAUAAUGUAGCAACUUAGAUCUUCAUUUGAAACGCUUUGAAGAACUGGUGGAGAAGAUAGUUUUGUACCAUUCCAAUCUAAUAUUUCAGUGUGGUCCUGUGCUUCAAAAUUUAAAGUAGGAGGGAUGAAAUUUCUAAUACGUUUGUCCUUGGCUUUAAUCUAUCCGGCUUUUAACACUCUCCUUAGCCCUAGCUCUCUAAUGUGUUUCCUUUCUCCCUAGUACUUGAAAUUUUGAAGCACGGUACUAAACUGAAAUAAUAGACUGGAAUAUAACGUUGCAAAACUAUUGCAGACUGUUGCAAAACUAUCUUCUCCACCACUUCUUCGAAGUGUCAAAUGAAGAUAUAAGUUCUUGCAUUACAUCGGGCGACAUACCAGACUGGAAUGUACAAAACUAUCCCUGACACACGCAAGCUGAUGAGAGGUGCCUAAAGUUGGUCACGGAAGCAUCGUCUAAUGCAGGGGAGGCAAACCCGUCGAUCGCGACCCCUAGGUCAGUCGAUCGAUGGCAAGAAAAAAUUAUCUACCUACCUACCCAUUCCCGUCCUAAAUAUUACGAAAAUUCCUAGUCGAUAGAUCGCAGAGAAUUAGAAAGACAGACAGUAGAUCUCGUGUCCGAUUAAGUUGGUCACCCCUGGUCUAAUGUAUGUGGGCCCCAAUCAAGAGAUGGAUUCAUAAGGGUAACACUUAAAUCAAGGUCCAUGCUGCCAGAUUCUACCACCAAAUCACAAUACAAAGUUGACGUUCAAAAGCUGGAUACAAACAUGAAAAGAAAAUUUACUAUGUAAAUAAUGUAAAAAUCACACUUAUUGGUUGGUUGGAGAGAAGGGUGUGUGUGGAGCUAGAAGUGCAACCACCUCCUCGUUGUGAGUUCUGGGUUGUUUAAGUAUUGUCAUACAAUAUAUAAACAAGCGAAAAACUUCACAAUGUAGGAGAAAAAUGAGAUAACUAAAUGUUUUUUAAUUUAUCAAAAUCAUCGAAAAUUUCAAUUUUUUAUAGAUUUUGAUUGACCUUGCGGGAUCGGAAGAUAUUCGUUAGAUGCGUAAAACUGUUGUUUUUAUUACUCAACCAUGCAAACUGUAAAUAAAUUUUACUAUAGCGAUAAAUAAAACGUACAUGGAGGAUUAAUAAAAAUUUCCGAAAAAAAGACAUCCAUCAAGGGAGUUUUCUCCGUAACGGGGCGAAGAUAGAAUAUUUUAUUUUAUUUUUAAUUUUGAACUGUAUAUCAAUAUCCUGAAUAUAUUUACUUUAUUUUUAA
Diabrotica virgifera virgifera (western corn rootworm) is the source of this 2149-nucleotide long non-coding RNA. RefSeq lists it as uncharacterized. The record is from RefSeq and is a predicted model, not a curated record. NCBI's taxonomy places the organism in Eukaryota, Metazoa, Arthropoda, Insecta, Coleoptera, Chrysomelidae. The transcript has 2 exons.